This 1839-nucleotide long non-coding RNA is filed under the name Anas platyrhynchos platyrhynchos (common mallard). RNAcentral's name for it is "lncRNA (ENSAPLG00000029199.1)". Lineage: Eukaryota; Metazoa; Chordata; Aves; Anseriformes; Anatidae. The record is from RNAcentral.
GUAACAUUUAUUCUUGCUGUGGGGCUGAAAACCCGAGCAACCUGUCCUUAACCCUAAUCCUCACCCUCGCCCUGCAAUUUGCUGGGUUAAACACGGGGAAACUGAGGCACGGCUGCAGCGCGACUUUGCCCGCAGGCAGAGAGCCGAAGGGAGGGCACGGCAGCGGAGGGCAGGGGGGGCCGUGCUCCCCCUCACAUUUGGGAGCGGGAUGCAGGCGUCCUGGCCACGAGCAUCCCCCCGCCACCUCCCAGACCCCCCAUUUUAUUGGGAAAGGGGGAAAAAAUCGUUGAGAGCCGCCCCCGUCCGCUGCACCCCUGCCCUCCCCGAUCCCCACCGCCCGGAGGGUGCCACCGCGGGGGGACCGCGAGGGUGGCGGCGGGGGCCGCCGGGCGCAGGCGGGCUGCAGGAUGCUGCUCUCUGUGUCUCCUUGCUGGGCGGUCGAUCCCCAGACAGGCUCCUCGCCUUGCUGCGUGUGCUCUUUCGAGCCCAUUGAUUUCCCUGAGCCGCGUGGAGCUGGGUGUUUCACCAACUUGCGCAAAGCGAGCGGCCGAAUUACUUGGGCUGCAGCCACCCCUGCCCAGUGUCACCACUGCCCCCUGAGCCCGUCCCACUCGUCACACCGAUGGGCUGCUCUGGGAGCUGGCAUCCCGGGAGGGUUUCCUCUGCUGCUGCCUGGGCAAACUGAGACAUCCUCUGAGCAUCUCCAUGUCCGUGAGCAUCCUGCAUCCCUGAGCGUCUCCGUAUCCCGCAGCAUCCCACGUCCCUACACCAGCAGGUCCCAGGCACGGGGCCGAGGGCGCAGCAGGAGCCCCGCAGGGGAGGAGUGCUGCGGAGGGUGACGGCAACGUAGCACCUACUCUAAUGGGAUCCUCUCCACAAGUAAUUAAGCCUCGGCUAAUGCUAACCGUAAUGUGAUGUAUGUAUGCCUUUAACUAAUCAUUUAUUAGCCUCGUUGAUGGUUUGUCAAUAUUAAUUCAUUUAUUUAAACAACUCCGAGCUGUAAUGAAGAUGUUUGCUUUAAGGGGGAAAAAAAGAGAUGGAGCUGCCAGGAGAUUUUUUGUUGACUCGAUGGAUGUCGCUCUGCCCUGGGUGAUGAGCGGCGUCCCUGCCCUCAAAGCCUGGCCCCUCGCUGCCAGCAGUGUCCCCAACCUGGUGGCAGCCCCCGGAGCAUCCCGAGGGGCUGCUGUAGGGCUGUAGGGACCCCCCCUCACAGCACCUCUGGGCUGGCUAGGAUGGGGCCACCCGAAGCAGCUGAGCGCUGUGACUGGAACAACUUUGUUUUGAAGAAUUUCCAUCAGUUUGACCUUAAAAUGUUCUAGCCGUACUUAGACGCCUGAAGUCAGACCCAAAUGUGCUGCACGACCAGGAACAAUUGGUUUCUGCUGACUUUCGACUUGGUAAUGAUUUCAAAUUGGUUUUCAUUUCAAAUCAAAUUACUUCUAUUUAAUAUUUUUUUGAGGUGGGGGAAAGGGAAAUUGACAAGAAACUGAAAAAAUGUAUUUUUUAUUCCAUUUGAUAGCCCACCUUGGGCUGGAUUUGCUCUUCCUUCUGCAGCCCGUGGGUGCCAAGGCCAGCAGGGUGCUCUCCAGGGGAGCAUCCCCAGGGCAGCAGGGUCCUGUGCCGGGGCUGUGCCAAACAGCUCCCGCAGCACGGGCUUUGGUGCUGGCCCUGGAUGUUGCAGCAGCUGCUUUCAGCUCUCCUCCUCAGCUUCUUAAUAUCAGCUAGAUCACAGUAUUAAAGUUAACUUUCUCUUAAACAAGCUUAAUUAGCGUCCUUCAGACAAACAUAAAUUAAUCCCGGGCUGCUCUGGAAGAUGCGGAAAUUCCCCUUGAUCGAUUG